Pseudophryne corroboree (corroboree frog) is the source of this 164-nucleotide small nuclear RNA. RefSeq annotates it as U1 spliceosomal RNA. The record is from RefSeq and is a predicted model, not a curated record. NCBI's taxonomy places the organism in Eukaryota, Metazoa, Chordata, Amphibia, Anura, Myobatrachidae. The transcript has a single exon.
AUACUUAUUUUGCAUAGGAGAUACCAUGGUCAUGAAGAUUAUUCUCCCAGGGUGAGGUUCAUUCAUUGCAUUCUGGGUAUGCUGACCCCUGUGAUUUCCCCAAAUGUGGGAAACUCGACUGCAUAAUUUGUGUUUCCCCUGGUCGGCUCUCGUAUAAUUCAGAU